UUAUCAGCGACCUGCAGGCCCACUGGCGGCCUUUACACUUACAGCUGGUCAGCGGGGUGGGACAGGGUGGAAGCUAAAUGGCUGCUCUAAAACGCCUUGGUGUAAACAACCCGGGGAAGGACUUCCUUGAACUGCCAGUUACCUGAGUGCGAUCCAUCUCACUAAAGCGUCUGCCCCAAGAGGGGUAGUAUCACCAGGAAAGAAAACAAAUAAAAGACACCCAGCAUGUCGCAGUGCAGGCACAGGCUGGGGAAUGCUGUCCCUUUGAGGGGGUGAGGGAUCCUCAGCAAGGAGCUAUGGAUCACACAUUUUGGAAGAGGCUGUGCUACUAGCCAGAAACUUUCUUCCUAAUGGAAGCCCAGCUAACCACAGGAUCUGCUGCAGACCACAGACCAGCCAAGCUCUACUAAAGAUGUCCCUCUAGGUUGGAAUGCAGACCACAGUUUGGAAACCACUGGCUUAUGAAAUAAACAAGAUAAUAUUUCAACCUAUACCGUCAAACAUGCUUUUCUUGAAGGACUGUCAGGGCUGUGUAAGAAAUAAGGUCAUGUCUAUAGGAUUGUCCCAGAAGCUCUGAGGAAAUACAGUGAACUCUGUUCUUCCAGAAAUCAGCACAAAUGUAGACAACUGAUAGAGAAUGGUAAUUUUUCAUCUACAAAGCCUGCAAAGGUAAUUCAGAUACUACCAUCAGAACUCUUGAAUUUUGCAUCAUCAAAACCUUCAUUAAAAACUAAAAUGUGCGUCAAUGCACGAUAACCAGCACCACAAACUGUGAUUUCACUUCACACAGGAAAAUGUCUCUCUGGAUGUGUCAGAGCCAGGACCAGUACCAAGUUAAUAUUUACCAUGCAUCUAAGCAUGAGAAAUUUGUGCCAAACAUUUCAUUAUUAUGAGUUUGAUCAUUCAUAUGUGACCUCUUUGACUUUAAAGGUAAGGAAAGAAAAGGUUAUUAUAGAAAAUGGAGACAUUUCCUGACAAAGCCAGAAUUACACAAUUUUGAAAGAUAAUAUUUAACCUCUGGAGAUGCCAAAAUUCUUUGGACUGACGCAGAAGUUAUAAAGACAGAUCUUGCCAAAUGUAGAGUAAUUUUUGAGGAAUUAUUCCUUUUCACAAUGCUAAUACAAAAAUCCUUGGACAUAAAACUGAGAACUCUGAAACAGGAAGGAGAAAUGAUAGAUGCUUUAAAAAACAAGUCUAUUUAGAAGCCACUUGUCUGAAUUUUGUAACGUCCACUGACAAUAACAUAUUUUCAUCCUUGACUGUAUUUUACAAGUUCAUUUCUUCAUGGACAGAAACCAGUAUAUUUAGCCUCUCAAAAUAUGUGUUUUAAAAGCAGAUAGUGAUUGCUUGCUUCUAUGUUCUAUAAAAGAAAGGAAAAUAAAAAGGACACUGAGAAAUAAUGCAAGCAUAUACACAUUGGGCCACAUGUAUAAACCUGUUCAUACACUUACAUUGAAAUUGAUUAACACAAUUGUGAAGAAGUGGAAUUAACAAUGGAGUUGUUCCUUUUCUGCAAUAUCCCACUUUUAGAAUAAGGAAUUCCAUAUUAUUUGCUUCUGCAGAUGGCAAAUAUACUUCCUCUGAAACAGAGCUUCCUAUAUAGAGUUUCUGUUUAUAGAAACAUCGAACACAAAUAGUCCUCUUAUUUAACUGAAUGACUUCUUUUUGGUUUUGUUGCUGUUGAAUGAUUAAACCACAACAAAAGCUAAAGCACUACACUGUAGUAAUGUGAAAUCAAAUUCUGCAUUGCAAACUCCAAAAAUUUCAGACUUUCUAGAAUGCUUGCAUUCAGGACAUAUUAAGGAAAAUUCCACACAAAUGAAGAAUGUCAUAAUAGCAAAGAAAAAAGGAGAGAAACAGGGAGGGAGGAAACAGCAAAUACUGAGAACACAACAUCUGUAAAAUGCACCAACAAUUCCAAGCUUGCAAUGGGCUGUCACUGUACACGCAAUGAGGAAAUUUCAUUUUAAAGUUACAAAAAUGACCUUGCUUUGAACCAAGUGAAUGUGAUUAUUUCUGAACUGAACAGAAAGUAAAGAAGUUUGGAUUAAAUGUUUUACCAGUGCCAAUGUCCCAGAACUUUCUUUGGCUCUAUAUUCUCUUUUCCUAUGUUUGUCAGCUGAAUUUAAUGUUCUCUUCUUUUUUGUCUCCUGGUCUCUUUGACCUUAAUGUGACAUUUUAGUUGAGUGAUUAAUUACUAUUAAAUGGCACUGCAUUUAUUAAAUGGAGUCCUUGUCUGUGUAAGAGCACAGUCACAAUGCAACGAUUCAGUUUGAUAAGCUUAAAUAUACACAGUUAGAUGUGGUAAUAUCUAAUUUGUCAAGGAUCUUGUGGCUAGCUUUUCUGCCACACAGCUAGAGAGGAGAUGUGAUUGCACAAAAAGCUUAAUAUUCUGAGCUUAAAUGUUCUCAGUAAAUUGAUCCUCUCCAUCAUGUAAUCUUAUUUCAGAGUGUGCAGGAGACAGCAAAGUUCCACACAAGCCUAAGUUGCCUUAAUAGUAGGCCUGAGGGUUCCUGACCAUAGAAAUAAAAGCUAUGUGACAAGAUUUGUAUGUCUCUUUUCAGCAGACAACAGCUGACUCCCCCUGCCAGAAGCUUUCUUUCUGGGUUAAUUGAAUAAAAAGAAGAACUAAUGUCAGUAAAAGGAUGAAAAGUUCAUUGAGAAAGAAAAGAUGCAUCUAUACAUCUACCUAAGUCAAAAAGAGAUUGUGAAUAUUUAGCUUAUUAAGUGAAACACCAGCACCUGACCUUGUAAUCAGCCAGGUUAUUAUUCUGUCAGUUAUAUUCUCCAAGCACUGCUUUACUCUUUUCUUAUCUAACAGCUGAUUUGGAACUUUUUUUCAGACUAUAAUGAAUCAUCAAAGCAAAACUUCUUGCAUGCAAAAGUGGGAAUCCAGAUGCAGACCUUCACCAGAGACACAUUUACACAUGGUCAGGGAACCGCUCCCCCCUUUCUGCUGGAAAAGUGAAUCACAAAACCAUAAUACAGAAGCAUCAUCUCUGCAUGAUGAAGGGGCAAGCUGAACUCCAUGCACAAGGAGAUACUCGAGCUUGCAUGUUCUGCAUGUUCUGUGCCACCUGGAGACAUCGAAAGAG
Molecule: long non-coding RNA, 3095 nt
Organism: Vidua chalybeata
Lineage: Eukaryota; Metazoa; Chordata; Aves; Passeriformes; Viduidae
Exons: 3
Source: RefSeq, a predicted model, not a curated record